AAAAUAACACAGAACACAAUAAAAGGUACGAGAGAGAAUUAAGUGAAUA
RNAcentral lists this non-coding RNA (49 nucleotides) under Trypanosoma brucei brucei. Lineage: Eukaryota; Euglenozoa; Kinetoplastea; Trypanosomatida; Trypanosomatidae. The record is from RNAcentral.